UGGGGAAUUUUGCACAAUGGGGGAAACCCUGAUGCAGCGACGCCGCGUGAUUUAGAAGGCCUUCGGGUUGUAAAAAUCUUUUUUAUGGGAUGAAAAUGACAGUACCAUAAGAAUAAGGUCCGGCUAAAUACGUGCCAGCAGCCGCGGUAAUACGUAUGGACCGAGCGUUGUCCGGAUUUAUUGGGCGUAAAGCGAGCGCAGGCGGUUAGAAAAGUCUGAAGUGAAAGGCAGUGGCUCAACCAUUGUAGGCUUUGGAAACUGUUUAACUUGAGUGCAGAAGGGGAGAGUGGAAUUCCAUGUGUAGCGGUGAAAUGCGUAGAUAUAUGGAGGAACACCGGUGGCGAAAGCGGCUCUCUGGUCUGUAACUGACGCUGAGGCUCGAAAGCGUGGGGAGCGAACAGG
RNAcentral lists this ribosomal RNA (402 nucleotides) under Verrucomicrobiota bacterium. Its description in RNAcentral is "Verrucomicrobia bacterium partial 16S ribosomal RNA". It matches the Rfam family "Bacterial small subunit ribosomal RNA", at positions 355 to 776 of the family's 1533-position model. Lineage: Bacteria; Pseudomonadati; Verrucomicrobiota. The record is from RNAcentral.